This 26-nucleotide non-coding RNA is filed under the name Homo sapiens (human). Lineage: Eukaryota; Metazoa; Chordata; Mammalia; Primates; Hominidae. The record is from RNAcentral.
UGAGCAGAUGGCCAAAGGAAGGGUUU